Molecule: ribosomal RNA, 685 nt
Filed under: uncultured archaeon
Lineage: Archaea
Description: bacterial SSU rRNA
Rfam family: Archaeal small subunit ribosomal RNA
Source: RNAcentral
UGGUUGAUCCUGCCGGACCUGACUGCUAUCGGAUUGAUACUAAGCCAUGCGAGUCAUUGUAGCAAUACAAGGCAGACGGCUCAGUAACGCGUAGUCAACCUAACCUAUGGACGGGAAUAACCUCGGGAAACUGAGAAUAAUGCCCGAUAGAACACUAUACCUGGAAUGGUUUGUGUUCCAAAUGAUUUAUCGCCGUAGGAUGGGACUGCGGCCUAUCAGUUUGUUGGUGAGGUAAUGGCCCACCAAGACUAUUACAGGUACGGGCUCUGAGAGGAGUAGCCCGGAGAUGGGUACUGAGACACGGACCCAGGCCCUAUGGGGCGCAGCAGGCGAGAAAACUUUGCAAUGUGCGAAAGCACGACAAGGUUAAUCCGAGUGAUUUGUGCUAAACGAAUCUUUUGUUAGUCCUAGAACCACUAACGAAUAAGGGGUGGGCAAGUUCUGGUGUCAGCCGCCGCGGUAAAACCAGCACCUCAAGUGGUCAGGAUGAUUAUUGGGCCUAAAGCAUCCGUAGCCGGCUCUGUAAGUUUUCGGUUAAAUCUGUACGCUUAACGUACAGGCUGCCGGGAAUACUGCAGACCUAGGGAGUGGGAGAGGUAGACGGUACUCGGUAGGAAGGGGUAAAAUCCUUUGAUCUAUUGAUGACCCCCUGUGGCGAAGGCGGUCUACCAGAACACGUCCGACG